This 429-nucleotide ribosomal RNA is filed under the name uncultured bacterium. RNAcentral describes it as "bacterial SSU rRNA". It matches the Rfam family "Bacterial small subunit ribosomal RNA", at positions 954 to 1382 of the family's 1533-position model. The record is from RNAcentral.
GCAUAACGCGAAGAACCUUACCAAGGCUUGACAUACACCAGAACACCCUGGAAACAGGGGACUCCUUGGACACUGGUGAACAGGUGGUGCAUGGUUGUCGUCAGCUCGUGUCGUGAGAUGUUGGGUUAAGUCCCGCAACGAGCGCAACCCUCGUUCUAUGUUGCCAGCACGUUAUGGUGGGAACUCAUGGGAUACUGCCGGGGUCAACUCGGAGGAAGGUGGGGAUGACGUCAAAUCAUCAUGCCCCUUAUGUCUUGGGCUUCACGCAUGCUACAAUGGCCGGUACAAUGGGCUGCGAUACCGUAAGGUGGAGCGAAUCCCAAAAAGCCGGUCCCAGUUCGGAUUGAGGUCUGCAACUCGACCUCAUGAAGUCGGAGUCGCUAGUAAUCGCAGAUCAGCAACGCUGCGGUGAAUACGUUCCCGGGUCUU